UGGGUGGAAGUCUUCACGAUCUCAUAACUC
RNAcentral lists this non-coding RNA (30 nucleotides) under Rattus norvegicus (Norway rat). The record is from RNAcentral. Lineage: Eukaryota; Metazoa; Chordata; Mammalia; Rodentia; Muridae.